Molecule: ribosomal RNA, 421 nt
Filed under: uncultured bacterium
Lineage: Bacteria
Description: bacterial SSU rRNA
Rfam family: Bacterial small subunit ribosomal RNA
Source: RNAcentral
UCGAGAAUCUUCGGCAAUGGGCGCAAGCCUGACCGAGCGACGCCGCGUGCGGGAUGAAGGCCUUCGGGUUGUAAACCGCUGUCGUAGGGGAGGAAGAUCCUGUGAAGAACAGGGUUUGACCGAUCCUAGGAGGAAGCGCCGGCUAAUCUCGUGCCAGCAGCCGCGGUAAUACGAGAGGCGCAAACGUUAUUCGGAAUUACUGGGCUUAAAGAGUUCGUAGGCGGCGCGGAAAGUGGGGUGUGAAAGCCCUCGGCUCAACCGAGGAAUUGCGCUCCAAACUACCGUGCUUGAGGAAGCUAGAGGUGAGCAGAACAGAUGGUGGAGCGGUGAAAUGCGUUGAUAUCAUCUGGAAUACCGGAGGCGAAGGCGGCUCACUGGGGCUUUUCUGACGCUGAGGAACGAAAGCCAGGGUAGCGAACGG